RNAcentral lists this ribosomal RNA (253 nucleotides) under uncultured bacterium. RNAcentral's name for it is "partial 16S ribosomal RNA". It matches the Rfam family "Bacterial small subunit ribosomal RNA", at positions 524 to 776 of the family's 1533-position model. The record is from RNAcentral.
UACGUAGGGUGCAAGCGUUAAUCGGAAUUACUGGGCGUAAAGCGUGCGCAGGCGGUUUUGUAAGUCAGAUGUGAAAUCCCCGAGCUCAACUUGGGAACUGCGUUUGAAACUACAAGACUAGAAUAUGUCAGAGGGGGGUAGAAUUCCACGUGUAGCAGUGAAAUGCGUAGAGAUGUGGAGGAAUACCAAUGGCGAAGGCAGCCCCCUGGGUUAACACUGACGCUCAUGCACGAAAGCGUGGGGAGCAAACAGG